CCUACGGGGGGCAGCAGUGGGGAAUUUUGCGCAAUGCUCGUAAGAGUGACGCAGCGACGCCGCGUGAAUGACGAAGGCCUUCGGGUCGUAAAGUUCUUUCGACAGGGAAGAAAAUGCAUAUAAGUAACUGUGUAUGUAUUGACGGUACCUGUAUAAGCAGCCCCGGCUAACUCCGUGCCAGCAGCCGCGGUAAUACGGAGGGGGCGAGCGUUGUUCGGAGUGACUGGGCGUAAAGAGCACGUAGGCGGUGUUGUAAGUCAUUAGUCAAAGACUAGAGCUCAACUUUAGUAAGGCUAGUGAUACUAUAAUAAGAGAGUAGCAGAGAGGAUUGCAGAAUUCCUGGUGUAGCGGUGAAAUGCGUAGAUAUCAGGAGGAAUACCGUUAGCGAAGGCGGCAAUCUGGCUGGAAACUGACGCUGAGGUGCGAAAGCGUGGGUAGCAAACAGGAUUAGAUACCCUAGUAGUC
RNAcentral lists this ribosomal RNA (465 nucleotides) under uncultured bacterium. Its description in RNAcentral is "partial 16S ribosomal RNA". It matches the Rfam family "Bacterial small subunit ribosomal RNA", at positions 338 to 795 of the family's 1533-position model. The record is from RNAcentral.